Molecule: ribosomal RNA, 197 nt
Filed under: uncultured Pezizomycotina
Lineage: Eukaryota; Fungi; Ascomycota
Description: partial 28S ribosomal RNA
Rfam family: Eukaryotic large subunit ribosomal RNA
Source: RNAcentral
UUGACCUCGGAUCAGGUAGGAAUACCCGCUGAACUUAAGCAUAUCAAUAAGCGGAGGAAAAGAAACCAACAGGGAUUGCCUCAGUAACGGCGAGUGAAGCGGCAAAAGCUCAAAUUUGAAAUCUGACCCUUCGGGUCCGAGUUGUAAUUUGCAGAGGAUGUUUCGGGUAAGAUUUAGGUCUAAGUUCCUUGGAACAG